AAGAUGGCGACUGUCAUUCACAACCCCCUGAAACCACUUGGGGAUCAGUUCUACAAAGAAGCGAUUGAGCACUGUCGCAACUACAACGCAAGGCUAUGUGCUGAACGCAGUGUUCGCCUCCCUUUUCUUGACUCACAGACUGGUGUAGCCCAGAACAACUGCUACAUCUGGAUGGAGAAAAGGCACAGAGGACCAGGUGUGGCUCCGGGACAGUUGUACACAUAUCCUGCUCGAUGUUGGAGAAAGAAGAGACGUUUGCAUCAUCCUGAAGAUCCAAGGUUAAGACUCCUGGAGAUAAAAGCAGAUGUAGACUUCCCUUUGCGGAAAGACAACGUUAUGUCGGAGGGUACCACACUAGAAGCCCUUCUACGGGGUGAAGGACUAGAAAAGAAAGACCUCAGAGAUGAGGACAGUCUACAAGAAAUUCAGAGGGUUUUAGAAAAUGAUGAAAAUGCAGAUGAUGCAAAUGGUGAUGAUGACUUUGAAGAGGAGCUUCCAAAAAGAAAGAACCGGAGCAGGGGACGGGCUCGUGGUGGCAGGAGGAGGAACGAUACUUCUUUUGAUGAGCAGGAUAAACCUUACGUAUGUGACAAUAGUUACAAACAAAAGCAUAACCCAAAAACAGCCGAAAAAGUCUGUGGAAAACGUUACAAGAACAGACCUGGCCUGAGCUACCAUUAUACCCACACUCAUCUCGCUGAUGAAGAAGGGACAGACAGCAGGGACCAAGAAUCUCGAUCUCCAUGUUCCCCUUCCAUUCACAGAAGUGAAAACCAGAAACCUCGCAAAGGAACAGAUGGUGCUAUACUUUCCAAUAACUACUGUGAUUUUUGCCUUGGAGACUCCACCAUAAACAAGAAAAGUGGACAACCAGAGGAACUUGUAUCCUGCGCAGACUGUGGACGCUCUGCUCAUUUGGGAAGAGAAAGCAGAAAAGAGGAGCUGCACAACGCAGAGGACUUGUUCGGAUCCACGUCAGAAAGCGACACUUCCACGUUUCAUGGCUUUGAUGAGGAUGACUGGGAGGGGCCUUCCUCAGCCCGAGCCACUCACUCCCCCACUGCAGAGGACUGGGGAGACUGCUAAAGCAAAUGAAUUGGAUCACCCCCAUCUUCUACCUGACACUUUCAAUCCCUACCUUCAUUUUUUUUUUUUUUUUGUUUAGCACUUUCCCCUCGUUAAGAUUUUUAUUUCUUCUCCAUUUACAAAGCACAACUGUACCCAAACUGGACAUUGAAAAAUUAUCUGAAUAUUUUGCAAGUUCGUUUAAAAUGAAAACUGUGGAUACACAUAUUUUUUUUUUCCUUCGGUAUGAGCAGAGCUCAUCUCCAGUAUUAGCCAGCAACCCAGAGCUGGUGUUAAGGCCACUUUGGAUAGAUAAGUGAAUGCCUUUAAUAGUCACAAUUCACAAUAAAAACAGAUGUCAGGAAAACACUGGAAUCCUACUUACUUUCUGUCUGCGACCCUGAUUACCUCAGUGACAGAAGACUUUUGUAAAAUAAUGGUUUUAUGGGAUUUUGCACACACAGUGAGGAAUCAGCCUAAGAUAAUGCAAACACAGCUGUACAAGGAGCAAGUUCCUCAUUAUUUUUCUCCACUUGAACCUCUGCAUGAGGACAGAGGUUUUUUUGUUUUGUUUUUUAGUUAUAGGACAAGUAUAAAAGCAAAUAGGAUAAAUACCUCAGACUUGCUUUUUUCACUUGCAAUGAUUUAUAUGUGCUAUUUAUUUUUCUUUGGCUCAAAAGACUCCCUGAUGUCUAAAAGGCACCUUUUUGUCUCCUUAUUCAAUACCACCUACUAGAAGAUACCAAAGCAACACCCAUUAAUGGUCCACAGGGCAAUGGAAAUGAGACCAAACUAUCAUCGCACCUGCUGAGCUGAAUUCAGACUGCGCUGCAGCAGGAUUGCAAAGGUCACCAUGCCCUACGAUGAUCAUCUACUUCCUACAAGAAAGCAAUCAGAGUUGGUUUUGAUGAGGAUAACAUUGACUUCAUGUAACGAUACUCUGCACCUGGAGCCCAACCCUUGCUUGUGCAAUAUGAGGGAUAUAAUAAUACUGGCGCCUGCUGAAGAUCUUUUUGGGUUUAAAUUUUAUAUACACAUUUUUAGCUUAGAUUUGGUGUUUGACACCCAGCUAGUUAAAUGUAAAUUUAACAAACAAAACAAUAUUGCUCCUUAUUUAUUUCAAUAUUUAAACAGAAAAUAGGAUAUCCCAGGGCUGAAGUUGCACAGUAUACUUGUUUUCAUACAUUUUACGUGGACCAGGAGUAUCGUACUAAAAUGAAUGAAAGCACUUAUGCAAAAAGGUGCUGGUGACUUUUUUUUAUUCAUUUUCUAUCCUGUACAAAUGUAAAGAAGAUUUGUUUAGGCUUUUUUUCCCCCUCACAGGUUUCUUAUUAUGUUUACCAGGUUUAUUUUUUCUAAUUUUGUAGUGAAAUUAUUGGUAUGUAUAAGUGAAUAAGAAAUUUACAUUUUGCGUUAUGCUGGCUGGUGCCUGCCACCCCUGCUGAGAUGUUUACCAGGCUGUCAAUCACUGAUAAAAUGGAUAUGCGCUGUACCAAUGUACAAGAAAUUACUGUGACUUACUGUUAAAUCUGCUGCUGAAUCGAUAACGGUACAGGCAACACUGGUAGGGCUCAACUUUUCCCACAAUUAUGUAAGUUAUCGUGUUUUUAAUUAAUUAAUAUUUUUUUUAAGCAGUUGGAUGCAUUCUACAUACCCACAUACAAAUCUAUAAGCAGAGCUCAAAGUUGUGCAUUUUUUUUUUUUUUUAUUAAAAAAAAACUUUUUUGCACUUGUCAUUGAACUGAAAUUUCAGUAUUGUGCCAGUAAAAAGUGCCCUUUGGUUGGUCUCACAUACUGCAGUUUGUAUCCAAGGAUCCAUUCCUUCUCUUAAAGGUUAAAGGGGUUGUCCUGCCAUUUAUAGUGAUGACCUCUGCCCAGGAUAGGUCAUCAAUAUCAGACACCCCUGACUAUCAAGAGGAGGUGGCGGUCCAUGCGAGCGCUGCUCCCGUUCAUUACACUGCCUGUAGUCUUAGAAGUGCAGUGUAAUGACGAGUACUCGCUCUAGUCACUUAAAUACAGCAAGUACUUGUAAUUACAGUAUGCCACAGCUUCAGAGGAGUAGUGUAGUAAAGAGGAAGCAGUGCUCGCAUGGAGCUCUGCCUCCUCUUCGGGAGUAUUGAUGAACUAUACUAGUGAUAGCUCAUCAAUAUAAAUGGCAGGACAACCCCUGUAAGUGGAGCCCAGACCAUACAACACAUUGCUGGGUUUUACUGUGAAGUUAAAGGGGUUGUCCAGUUUCUGAUAUUAGUGACCUAUCCUCAGGACCCCCCAACUCCAAAAAUCAGCUUUUUGAUGAAGAUCACAGUUCUCAUGCAAGCACUGCAUUCUCUUUACUUGUCAGCUGUCACCAUUGCAGCUGCAAGCAGUGUAACUACAGCUCCUCCAUCCAAUUCACUUAAAUGGUACUCAGUGUAAAUACAACUGCUCCUUCCCAUUCAAGUGAAUAGAAUGGAUUUGCUGUGAUAACAAUGGUUGCCGCUGCAGCUGAUCAGUGAGUGUGCCAUGAUUUGGACCCCCACCAAUCUGAUAUUGAUGACCUAUCCUGAGGAUAGGUCAUCAAUAUCAGAAACCAGACAACCCUCUUUAAUACUUUGUCCUGAAAGUUUAUGCAGUAUUUUAAUCUGGCAAAUUUGUGAUAACCUAUAGGACAGCAGUCCAUAUUUUAAAAGGAAAAAGUAACUAGCAACAGUUUAUCAUAAAAAAAUAAAACAAAACCUAGUUGUCACAUCCUUAGAUGCUUUUUUUAAGGCAAAGAGUGAAUCCAAAAGGAAGAAAAUUUAUAAAGUAAAGAUAACUGCAUCCUAUUUUUGUGUAAACUCAUCCUUACCUCAUAAAUCUUGGGAACGUACCCCAAAUGAGCUGUGUGUCUGCAACAUUUUUACCACACACUCCAAAAAAAUAAAUAAAUGGAGAAAAAGUGAAGGCCAGAACAUACAUGACUAUUUCAUAAAUGUGUCCCGAAGUCUUCUUUAGAAUAUGAAAGUUUUUAUGCUUAGUGGCGAGUAUUAAUGGGAGCUUGUAGUCCAUGCACCAUUCAGUGUCAGUGUUAUAAUAAUGACCACGGCAUCAAGAUUUUGUGUAUAAAGAAGGGACACGUUAUGCCUUAUUUAUGUCACUCCAGAGAGGUUUUGUGUCUAUAGCCAUAAUAUGUGAAUUUGACUGAUUACGGUAGAUAUGAAAUAAGCUGUAUGGAAUGAGAGCCCGUUACUUUAGCAUCUUUCCUGUGGCUGCCUAUGCUGCACUUUCAAUGUAAAUAUAGCUGUAUUUUGAUGCCAAUAUUACGCCAAGACCUGGAUUCCAAAGCUUCAAAUAAGCUGAAUUUGGGUCACUAUAUAGAACCCUAUGGAAUAGAAGUUCGGUUCAGCAGAAUAUGGGUAUUAAGGGCAUAAUACAGACUUUACUAUACAGCUUUAUUAUUUUUCUGUAACCGAAGGCAGACUAAAUGUAAACCCAUACUAAAGCUACACCACAUCUCAAACAGCCUCUGCAGAAAUAUUGCUAUCCCAUGAAACAACAAAAUUUGAAAUACUGUAUAUUGGGGAUCUUUGAGAUCCCCCUAGACAGCUGGAGGACACGCUUAAUUUAUGAUGAGGCACAGGCCUAGUCAUAAAUUAGAUGUAUCCUGCAGCAGUCCACGUGUCUAGAGUAGAUUUUAGUCAUCAUUUACACCAGUAAACUGGCACAAAUAUUAGUGAAUGUACUGGGAAUGAUGGCCCAGCAAACAGCUCACCCUCGCCACUCUCCCUUUUCAGAAAGUGGAGAGGGUGACGUAGAAAAACCACUUGAUCCUACAUUUAGGUGCAAUGGCAUUAAAAAAUUCUCAAACCACGGGUUUGUGACCCUUUUUCACACCAAUUUCUGGCGUAGGGGGUCAUAGUAAAUUUAUAAAAUGCUGGAUGGCAUUUGAUAAAUUUGGUACAUCUCUAAGCUCAAAAACUUUUGUCUAGAGAGGUUACUCCAGGUCUUGUAUGCUACCCCCCACUCUACUGGAGGGAGAUUGAACCUUUUUCUACAUCAUUAUAAAAAACUGCCGUUCAUAAAGUAUGCCAACUCUUCACCCCCAAUUUACAAAAGUGUGAGGGAGGUGUAAAAACAGAGUAGCAAAGUUUUUGUGCAAACAUGGUAAGCACAAAAAACUGCUUUUUUUUUACACUUUUCCCGGUAUAAGUGGAACGAUCAAUACAUCCUAAGGUCCCUUUCAGACUAGCGAGUUCCACGCAUCAGACUUGCAGAGUGAGUAUGCAGCAGCUCCCGUCCUGAUCUCUUAACACUGAUGGGGUCGCAAAGCAUUAUAU
This is an RNA transcript of Bufo gargarizans (Asiatic toad), 5360 nucleotides long. It is a transcript of the gene named double PHD fingers 3, with no coding region annotated. Lineage: Eukaryota; Metazoa; Chordata; Amphibia; Anura; Bufonidae. The transcript is spliced from 11 exons. The record is from RefSeq and is a predicted model, not a curated record.